Molecule: long non-coding RNA, 83 nt
Organism: Aricia agestis (brown argus)
Lineage: Eukaryota; Metazoa; Arthropoda; Insecta; Lepidoptera; Lycaenidae
Exons: 3
Source: RefSeq, a predicted model, not a curated record
AAAUUCGAAGUACAGGGAAAUAUUACGCUAAGAUCGGAGCAAAGGGCGCUGCCAGCACAUACAGUAAAUUAUUCGACAUGUUG